ACACAUGAUUCCAACAAAAUCAUCAAAACAUAAUUGAAGAAUGAGCACUCAAAGCCUUUUGAGCCUUGAUUCGCAGUCGUUUAACGCCGGAUAAACAAGUGGUUGGUGCCAUCUUUUGACCAAACGGAAUCCGAUGGAAUUAAGAAAACCUUCACUCGAAUAGAAGAACAACAAUGAAUGAGUUGCUGUGGACCUGCAAUGUAAGUGUUGAGGGGACUGAUGUGAGUCACCACUGUCACUACCGCUAGGGAAGGGCCGAUCAAAUUGAAGCAAACAGUGGCAAACAAUAGAGAAAAAGGAAGGGCCAGUGACGUCAAACUUUGGAAAAGGAGGAGAAGGAGGCUAAGUUAGGUUGGCAAUAGCUAGCGAGUCAUGACAGGAGGCCAGGGAUGGCAAGUCUCGAGUUAUGACUCAAGUGAGGAGAGGCAGAGUGACUUGCCUUUGAUAGUUUGUGAGUAGGUUAAAUUUUUUUUUAUUAAUUAUUUGGCAUUUCCCAUUGAUAUGCUGCAGCG
This 512-nucleotide unclassified non-coding RNA is filed under the name Hevea brasiliensis (rubber tree). Lineage: Eukaryota; Viridiplantae; Streptophyta; Magnoliopsida; Malpighiales; Euphorbiaceae. The record is from RNAcentral.